UACAUUUUACAUGUUUUGAGCAUCCAUUUGUCAUCACUUUAGCAUCAUAUCA
RNAcentral lists this small RNA (52 nucleotides) under Arabidopsis thaliana (thale cress). RNAcentral's name for it is "ATSL159490". Lineage: Eukaryota; Viridiplantae; Streptophyta; Magnoliopsida; Brassicales; Brassicaceae. The record is from RNAcentral.